UCCCAUGCUUGUUUACACUUUUAUUGGA
Molecule: non-coding RNA, 28 nt
Filed under: Rattus norvegicus (Norway rat)
Lineage: Eukaryota; Metazoa; Chordata; Mammalia; Rodentia; Muridae
Source: RNAcentral